Molecule: non-coding RNA, 914 nt
Organism: Pelobates cultripes (western spadefoot toad)
Lineage: Eukaryota; Metazoa; Chordata; Amphibia; Anura; Pelobatidae
Source: the annotation of a GenBank genome assembly
UUACAUACACACAUAGUCACACAGUCACAGUUACCCACAGUUAAAUACCCUUUUACACACACACACCGUCACCCACAGUAACAUACAUACAAUUACCCACAGUCAUACAUCUCCUUCUCCUGCACAUUACUGAUUAGGGCAACGGGAGGAGAGGAGGCUGGACUUUCAAUGCCUGCAGUCCCUGAUGUCUAGUGGUUGGGGAAAGAGGGACUCCUUCCUGCUUCCCUCUGCCUAGGGCUGUUACCGGGUAUCACCCAACCUGCCUGUAUCAGCAAGACCCAGUAAGCCAUGGGGGUAAGAGUAAGAGGAUAAUAAAAUCUUCUUACGGGAUUCCAUGUUCACUGUCUAUGUACGUAUUACAUAGCUCCACAGUCUGGUCAUCUGUUCAUCCUUUCUUAUGAGACCAAGGAAAGCGGACUUGUAGACUGCUUUCCAUCCCACAGCUCACUUGUUCAGCCCCAACCAUGAUAAGCCUUAAAUAAGCCUGAUGGGUCACUAUAGGGCAGAUGGGUACUCACUGUGUAAUCCUAGGCACACUCUAUCACACACUUUAUUUUCACUAUCUCAAAUACCAAUAAUCAGCAUUGAGUGUCUGGCAAUAAUCAGCAUUGAGUGUCUGACAAUUUCACUUUAAGUAUGAUGUGAAUUACUGGGACUUGUGUUAUCGGUAUUUGAGACAGGGAGAAUAAAGUGUGUGAGAGAGUGUGGCAAAUUAACCCAGUGUGCUAACGGACUUAUGUUCCUUCAUUCUAGGUUCAAGGGAUAUUUGAUAUGUCCUAGAUAAGUGGGUGCGGAACAUUACACCACCCGCACAUUUGCAUGAAAUGGCUUGAUUGCUUGAUUAACACAACUGAUUCACUCAGUCAAGCCAAUUUCAAAACAAAAGCAGGGACGAGCAAUCUAGUAGCUGUCAG